GCCAUUAGUAAAUGCGCCACCCGAGACGCUGGGCCCGCCCAAAGGCUGACCUCCUGCCCGCUCCUUCCGGUCGUACUCAGGGCCCGACCCCAGAGUCCAGGCAUCGACCCUGUUACCCCGCGAGCCUGGACACCUCUCUCCUGUCCGAAUUACGAUGGCCCGAGGCGUUUGGCAGAUUCCGGAGCCCGGAAUGCCCCGCUGCCCCGGCAGGGCCUGCGACCUUCCCCUGGCUUACCGAAAGAGUGGAGGUUCUGGAUAGCGGACAUACGAUACGAUUCCUUUUCCUCGGUGGAAACGGCCUGCGGAAGGCGGCUGCGGGAGAAGGCGGGCGGGGGGGACGGAGCGUCGGGAAGCGAGGGGGCUCGAGGGGGAGGCUGCUGAGUCCUCGGCGGCGGCUCAGUGACUGGGGCGGAGGGGCGGCGCCUGUAUUCACUUAUAUAGCCGCCCCUGUGACGCCAGCGCGCUGCCCUCACGUCCCGGCCCCACCCACGGCGUCGUGCUCCCAAGCGUCUCGGAGCCACCGCUUCCAAUUGGUCCGGGGACGGGGACACGGUGCGGCGCCUGCGCAGGAACUUGACUGUGGGAGGGCGUCCCGAUGACUCCGGGAGAAGUGGGAGGGGGAGAGAGACCUCGGUUUGUCUGGGCGCCUGCGCCGUGCGGGUGGAAGUGUCUGGUCUGCGGAGAAACUGGCUGAAGUUUCGAGUGCGCCUGCGCACUAUGUCCUUUGGCACGCUUUGCCUUCCUGACCCUGUUGCAGCCCUUCCUGCUCUGAUGGGUUUUAGUCGGGUUAGAUUGGCACUCCCUGGAGGGGUCUUGAUACUGAGCCUCCCAAAUGCGACGGUUAGAUUAAUCCUCCUAAGGAAUGUGCCCAGGUCACUAGUACCAGUUCAAGGGGUAGUAAGUGGUUCUUCACCAGCACCCCGGCCCCCGUUCCCCGCCCACCACAGGUCAGGCACCAGAGGGUGCCCAUUGUGUCAUACAGUGUCAUACAAGCUGUGUGGAGUGGAGUCUUCCCAGAGCUUGGAUUAUAUAAAGGAUAACCAUGGCUGUAGAUCAUGGGCAUCCCAGUCACACAGUCUGAAAAGUCACACAGUUUGAAAAGUCGAGGACCCAGACUGCCAACCUGGGGACCUCUCCUCUCAGGGAUAAGGCUCUGCUGGAAAGGGUUUGGGGGGAGCGUGACUGAGUCAGAGCUGUCCUUCCCAGUGUGCACACAAUAUUUUGUAUCAUAAAAUUUGAAAAUCAUGAUGUGGUUUUUAUGGUUUAAAUAUGAGAUGUCCCCCAAAAGCUCAUGUG
Molecule: long non-coding RNA, 1296 nt
Organism: Sciurus carolinensis (gray squirrel)
Lineage: Eukaryota; Metazoa; Chordata; Mammalia; Rodentia; Sciuridae
Exons: 3
Source: RefSeq, a predicted model, not a curated record